This 465-nucleotide ribosomal RNA is filed under the name uncultured bacterium. RNAcentral's name for it is "partial 16S ribosomal RNA". It matches the Rfam family "Bacterial small subunit ribosomal RNA", at positions 28 to 507 of the family's 1533-position model. The record is from RNAcentral.
GACGAACGCUGGCGGCGUGCUUAACACAUGCAAGUCGAACGGAAAGGCCCUGCUUGCAGGGUACUCGAGUGGCGAACGGGUGAGUAACACGUGGGUGAUCUGCCCUGCACUUCGGGAUAAGCCUGGGAAACUGGGUCUAAUACCGGAUAGGAGCCAUUUUUAGUGUGAUGGUUGGAAAGUUUUUUCGGUGUAGGAUGAGCUCGCGGCCUAUCAGCUUGUUGGUGGGGUAAUGGCCUACCAAGGCGGCGACGGGUAGCCGGCCUGAGAGGGUGGACGGCCACAUUGGGACUGAGAUACGGCCCAGACUCCUACGGGAGGCAGCAGUGGGGAAUAUUGCACAAGGGGCGCAAGCCGGAUGCAGCGACGCCGCGGGGGGGAUGACGGCCUUCGGGUUGGAAACUCCUUUCGCUAGGGACGAAGCUUUUUGUGACGGUACCUAGAGAAGAAGCACCGGCUAACUACGUG